This 253-nucleotide ribosomal RNA is filed under the name uncultured bacterium. RNAcentral's name for it is "partial 16S ribosomal RNA". It matches the Rfam family "Bacterial small subunit ribosomal RNA", at positions 524 to 776 of the family's 1533-position model. The record is from RNAcentral.
UACAGAGGUCUCAAGCGUUGUUCGGAUUCAUUGGGCGUAAAGGGUGCGUAGGCGGCGGGGUAAGUCUGAUGUGAAAUCCUGGGGCUCAACCCCAGAACUGCAUUGGAUACUGCCUUGCUAGAGUACUGGAGAGGAAACUGGAAUUUACGGUGUAGCAGUGAAAUGCGUAGAGAUCGUAAGGAAGACCAGUGGCGAAGGCGAGUUUCUGGACAGUAACUGACGCUGAGGCACGAAGGCCAGGGGAGCAAACGGG